This 253-nucleotide ribosomal RNA is filed under the name uncultured bacterium. Its description in RNAcentral is "partial 16S ribosomal RNA". It matches the Rfam family "Bacterial small subunit ribosomal RNA", at positions 524 to 776 of the family's 1533-position model. The record is from RNAcentral.
UACAGAGGUCCCGAGCGUUGUUCGGAUUCACUGGGCGUAAAGGGUGCGUAGGUGGUGAGGUAAGUCGGAUAUGAAAUCUCCAAGCUCAACUUGGAAAUGGCAUUGGAAACUACCUUGCUGGAGGUUUGGAGGGGGGACUGGAAUUCUCGGUGUAGCAGUGAAAUGCGUAGAUAUCAAGAGGAACACCAGUGGCGAAGGCGAGUCCCUGGACAACACCUGACACUGAGGCACGAAAGCUAGGGGAGCAAACAGG